AACAGUUCUCCACAAUCAAUGCUUAACAGACAACGAGUUGGUUAUUUCCUCUCUAUUAUAUAUAGGGAGCACGCCAAUUCAGGUACACAGUUUCAAAUUUAAUUUUAACUCACUAUUCUCUCUCACAUGAUGACUCGAGGGUUGGAGUAUCAACCUUGCAUGUCAUCCCCCUCUCCGCACUAGAAGUUCAGGUCCGCCAUUACCUAUGUUUGAUCCUUACUCCAUUUCUGGUUUCAG
This 237-nucleotide long non-coding RNA is filed under the name Lathyrus oleraceus (garden pea). RNAcentral's name for it is "Pisum sativum (pea) long non-coding RNA (PSAT_LNC007507)". Lineage: Eukaryota; Viridiplantae; Streptophyta; Magnoliopsida; Fabales; Fabaceae. The record is from RNAcentral.